Molecule: ribosomal RNA, 309 nt
Filed under: uncultured bacterium
Lineage: Bacteria
Description: partial 16S ribosomal RNA
Rfam family: Bacterial small subunit ribosomal RNA
Source: RNAcentral
AGAGACAGCAGUCGCCGCGGGAAUACGGAGGGUGCAAGCGUUAAUCGGAAUUACUGGGCGUAAAGCGCACGCAGGCGGUCUGACAAGUCAGAUGUGAAAUCCCCGGGCUUAACCUGGGAACUGCAUUUGAAACUGUCAGGCUGGAGUCUUGUAGAGGGGGGUGGAAUUCCAGGUGUAGCGGUGAAAUGCGUAGAGAUCUGGAGGAAUACCGGUGGCGAAGGCGGCCCCCUGGACAAAGACUGACGCUCAGGUGCGAAAGCGUGGGGAGCAAACAGGAUUAGAUACCCCUGUAGUCCCUGUCUCUUAUAC